GGUGCAUUAGCUACAGUGUUGUGUCAUGAUGUCAACAUGAUACGAUCAUUGUGCUUAUCAACUGGACUGCAUUAACCUAUACAACACCUUCAACAAUAUACUGAUAAGGACUUUGAAGGACGACGCCAGUUAAUCUGGAGGGUCUUUAUCAUGGAAUAACAAUGCAGUAGGAUGGCUCCAACUAGGACUGGCCAAAAAAAAUAUUGUCAAUUAUCGAUAGAAAAAAUUCACUGAAUUGAAAUUGCAGAGCAAUAUUAUAAUAAUAAUAUAAUAUAUAUAUAAUAUAUAAUAUAGUUAUAAUUAUAAUGAUUACUCCAGAGAUUAUUCAAUGUGAUGGAUACAAUCCUGUCUCGAAAAAGAUGGCAUGAAUCUCCAAUGUUCUCUGAGAUGGGAUGAACAAUUUUUGCUAGGAUAUCGAAUAAAUUGACGAUAAUAUCAAUACCAAAGAAUAGUGAUCAACUUGUGAUGUGAUAAUUUAUAUUGGCUUUUUUGAGCU
This is a long non-coding RNA of Harmonia axyridis, 496 nucleotides long. RefSeq lists it as uncharacterized. The record is from RefSeq and is a predicted model, not a curated record. The transcript has 3 exons. NCBI's taxonomy places the organism in Eukaryota, Metazoa, Arthropoda, Insecta, Coleoptera, Coccinellidae.